CCUUAACUCUGGGAUAAGCCUGGGAAACUGGGUCUAAUACCGGAUAGGAGCGCCUACCGCAUGGUGGGUGUUGGAAAGAUUUAUCGGUUUUGGAUGGACUCGCGGCCUAUCAGCUUGUUGGUGAGGUAAUGGCUCACCAAGGCGACGACGGGUAGCCGGCCUGAGAGGGUGACCGGCCACACUGGGACUGAGACACGGCCCAGACUCCUACGGGAGGCAGCGGUGGGGAAUAUUGCACAAUGGGCGCAAGCCUGAUGCAGCGACGCCGCGUGAGGGAUGACGGCCUUCGGGUUGUAAACCUCUUUCAGUAGGGAAGAAGCGAAAGUGACGGUACCUGCAGAAGAAGCACCGGCUAACUACGUGCCAGCAGCCGCGGUAAUACGUAGGGUGCGAGCGUUAUCCGGAAUUAUUGGGCGUAAAGAGCUCGUAGGCGGUUUGUCGCGUCUGUCGUGAAAGUCCGGGGCUUAACCCCGGAUCUGCGGUGGGUACGGGCAGACUAGAGUGCAGUAGGGGAGACUGGAAUUCCUGGUGUAGCGGUGGAAUGCGCAGAUAUCAGGAGGAACACCGAUGGCGAAGGCAGGUCUCUGGGCUGUAACUGACGCUGAGGAGCGAAAGCAUGGGGAGCGAACAGGAUUAGAUACCCUGGUAGUCCAUGCCGUAAACGUUGGGCACUAGGUGUGGGGACCAUUCCACGGUUUCCGCGCCGCAGCUAACGCAUUAAGUGCCCCGCCUGGGGAGUACGGCCGCAAGGCUAAAACUCAAAGGAAUUGACGGGGGCCCGCACAAGCGGCGGAGCAUGCGGAUUAAUUCGAUGCAACGCGAAGAACCUUACCAAGGCUUGACAUGUUCUCGAUCGCCGUAGAGAUACGGUUUCCCCUUUGGGGCGGGUUCACAGGUGGUGCAUGGUUGUCGUCAGUUCGUGUCGUGAGAUGUUGGGUUAAGUCCCGCAACGAGCGCAACCCUCGUUCCAUGUUGCCAGCACGUAAUGGUGGGGACUCAUGGGAGACUGCCGGGGUCAACUCGGAGGAAGGUGAGGACGACGUCAAAUCAUCAUGCCCCUUAUGUCUUGGGCUUCACGCAUGCUACAAUGGCCGGUACAAUGGGUUGCGAUACUGUGAGGUGGAGCUAAUCCCAAAAAGCCGGUCUCAGUUCGGAUUGGGGUCUGCAACUCGACCCCAUGAAGUCGGAGUCGCUAGUAAUCGCAGAUCAGCAACGCUGCGGUGAAUACGUUCCCGGGCCUUGUACACACCGCCCGUCAAGUCACGAAAGUCGGUAACACCCGAAGCCGGUGGCCUA
RNAcentral lists this ribosomal RNA (1296 nucleotides) under uncultured Micrococcineae bacterium. Its description in RNAcentral is "bacterial SSU rRNA". It matches the Rfam family "Bacterial small subunit ribosomal RNA", at positions 130 to 1437 of the family's 1533-position model. Lineage: Bacteria; Bacillati; Actinomycetota; Actinomycetes; Micrococcales. The record is from RNAcentral.